AUUUCUCUGAGAUGUUCGCAAGCGGGCCAGUCCCCUGAGCCGAUAUUUCAUACCACAAGAAUGUGGCGCUCCACGGUUGGUGAGCAUGCUCGGUUCGUCCGAGAAGCCUUAAAACUGUGACGACACAUUCACCUUGAACCAAGGGUUCAAGGGUUACAGCCUGCGGCGGCAUCUCGGAGAUUCC
RNAcentral lists this non-coding RNA (184 nucleotides) under Enterobacter sp. CC120223-11. RNAcentral's name for it is "6S / SsrS RNA". It matches the Rfam family "6S / SsrS RNA". Rfam says of the family: E. coli 6S RNA was the first non coding RNA to be sequenced, but its function was unknown until recently. It consists of 184 nucleotides that fold into an extended hairpin structure with a large single-stranded internal bulge. Lineage: Bacteria; Pseudomonadati; Pseudomonadota; Gammaproteobacteria; Enterobacterales; Enterobacteriaceae. RNAcentral also lists the same sequence under 12 other names. The record is from RNAcentral.